This 3278-nucleotide long non-coding RNA is filed under the name Sus scrofa (pig). RNAcentral's name for it is "lncRNA (ENSSSCG00060020641.1)". Lineage: Eukaryota; Metazoa; Chordata; Mammalia; Artiodactyla; Suidae. The record is from RNAcentral.
AUUUUUAUCUUCCUUCCCCUUCCCCACCAUCUCUUUUUUCACUCCUUUGCCUUCUCUUCAUGCUUCCCUGGCUUAAGACCCUUGUACCAACAUUGUUUAUUCCUGCAUAUGGCCAAAGAGUUGCUGACCUCUGCCUUCCCUCAUGAAAUUUUCAAACACACCUGCUCCUGUGCCUUGCAAAUGAGUCCUAUCUGAACCUCCAAUCACACCAGGGUGCCAAGCAUCCCUAGCUGCAGAAUAUCUGGUCUCCAGGCAACCAGAGAGGAGCAUUCCAUCUUCAGAAAAGGUACGAAGUGCUCUCUUGCCCUGAAAGCCCUCUAAAGUUGAAGGCAAGGGUUUGGAAGAGAUUCAAAUCAAACUCUCUAUAAGCUGGGCUCCCUCUGGUGAUAAAUGACUUUAAAAAAGGAAACAAGAGGGUAGCUAAGGAGGAUAUCAACUCUCAUUCGCCAACACAUGAUAAUAUAGAGAUGUCAGAAAUAAAUAAUUGGUCUAAAGCUGCACUGGCUAAUUUGAUAACCAUUAGCCACAGGUGGCUAUUCAAAUUUAAACUGAUACAAAUUUAAUUAAAGUUUCAUUCCCCAGGCACAAUAGCCACAUUUCAAGUUCUCAGUAGCCACAUGUAGCUGCACUGGAAAGGACUGCAGAUGCAGAAAUAGAGAGAAAUAGAGAGAGAGGGAAAAAGGAAGAGAAGAAAUGAGACAUUUGGUAUUACUCACAUCCUUUUGGGUAAUCAGGAGAUAAAGACAGAGAAGGAAAGACAGAGAAAGAAAAGAAAACAUAAAUAAUUGAAAGAGAAUAAAACUGCAGGUCUGAGAUCAAGACUUUUUCCUCCCAGCUUUAUACAUUCUAAGAGACAUGUGAAUAAUGUGAGAGGAGCACACUUUCCCAAGCACUUGAUUUUAAGAGCCUGUCUUGGGUGUAAGUAAACUGAGUAUGGAGGCUCACCUCUAUGGGAGGCUAGAGUUCUUGCAGCCAAUUAGUUGCUUUGACCUGAAUCGACUCAUUUUCAUUUAGAUGUUUUCUUGCAACCUACCAACGAGCAUCUUGUAUCACCCCCCCACACCUGCCCUUUCCUCUAAAUCUGAGAAUGACUAUGGCAAUGGGGAUAGAACAGCACAUGUAUUAGAAGUGAAGAGCAUUACUGAGAAUUUAGAGACUAUGUCUAGUUUGGAGGAACCCAAGGGAACUUCAAGAAAAGUAAUCAGAGUGAGUAGGAAAGAAUACAUAAUGCAAAUUAUUCCCUCCAGGAACUUUACUUCAAAAAGAACAAGUGCAUUUCCCUGAAGGACACCAGUACUGUCAAAUGUAACUGUUCACCAUGCUUCUCCAAGGCACCAAAUGGGCUUUUAAGUCACAUUCCUGCAGGUUUAACCAUGGAUUCAAAAUAGAAACUGUAAAUUUGCUCUCUAAGUUUGUAUUGACAUGCAGAUAGUAUUGGGGUUAUUGUGUGGCCUCACUAGGAUAUCUGCUUAUAAUUUAAUGAGAGAUUUGGUAAAAAUGGACUGGUUGACAUCACAGAGGUUUCAGCAUUUUUGACCCUCUAUUUUAUGUGGUGAACCCCAAGACCAACUGAGAUCAAAACUUCUGGCAGCCUCUGAAAAUAUCUGCUGAAGAUAUUUGUGGAAUAUAAGCUUAUCCUACAAAUUAACAACAAUAAUAAAGAUAUAAUAUUCAUUUAUAUUCCCUUAGAAUUAAUGAGCCAUUUCAUUGUCUUAGCUAUUUCCUUGAAGGGGAGAGAACAGGUCAAAGCACAACCACUUCCAUAAAACAGAGAAAACCGCUCCUAUUUUAUGACACACUGAUGGAAAAAGACAGGCCUAAAAGUUCUUCCACCCUUCACCUCUGUACCUUCAGUUCCCAAAUACCAUUUCUGCGAUAGAUAGAUGAUAGAUGGAUAGAUAGACAGAUAGAUAGAUAGAGAGAUAGAUAGAUAGAUAGAUAGAUAGAUAGGUGGGAAGACAGACUGACAGACAAUUGGGGAAUGUAGUUAGUCUGGCAUUAACCUUCAUUUAUCCGUCUAUGUGAACAGCACUAAGAAUACACAGAUAGCUAACACAUAAUCCAUGCACUGAGGUGACUCAAAGUUAAAAGGGAGACAUACAUUUAUAACGCAUUACGAUGACUGUGGUAGCGUCAGAAACUAAUUGCUUUAGGAGUACAGAGGAAGAAGUAAUUAAUUCUCCCUGAGGGUUUAGAGGAAGAUUCAUGAACAAACCUGUGCUGCUCUGCAAUGUCACUACACAUCCAGAAGCCAAUGGGAGUGAAGUCAAGGGCAAAGUGGGUAAGGACCAGACACUGUACGCCCAUAGAUGACCCCUCUCCUAUUAUAGUGCACCCCAACAAGGUUAUCUAUCCACACAUAUUGUUUCCAACUAAACCAACACUUUUCCUGGUUCUUGACAUCAACACUUAAGGAGUUAAAGCUCCUCUCCAGAACUAUUGCUUUGAAAGCAGCCUUUAUACCUCUACUGAGUAGAGAGCAGUCAGUCAUUAGAGCCACAAAGAGCCAUGCACUCAGGAACACAUAUACACACCCUACUUAAAUGUAUAUAUGCAUGCAUGCAUGUAUGUAUGCAUAUAUAUAUAUGCAUAUUAAGUAAAUGAUAUACAAAUAUAUGAAGUAAAUAUAUACAGGUAUUAUUAAACACCUGAGUAGGUAGCUCUUUGCUAGGGCUCAAGGAAUAAAAAUCAGCAUAAGACAUUUGCCUAUAAAAAGUUUGUAGUACAGUGAAGUAUAUGGCAUGCCCUACCAUAGUCAUUGCUAGCACAAAGGGGAAAGACGAGGGCAUUUUGUAAUACUCUCUUCAGCUCAAGCUGCUACCAAGAAAGCUGGGAAAUAACAUUAUGAGAUAAUCCAGUCUUCCCCACCUGUAAGUACCAACUAACAAACAAAAAGUUUAUGUAAAUAAAAGGAACUACCACUAAAUAUUAAUAGAUCCAAUAUAUUCAGCCCAUGACCACCAGGAAGCUGCAUUCUCUCAGCAGUGUCUUAUUUAAGGUUGAUGCUGUCUUCCUAGCCACAUAAAUCACUCUAAGAGAGAAUAGAGUUUUUCCCUGUGGAGUCUGUGAUUACAGACAGGUAUCCCAGUUUGGGAUCAGGAAAGCCCUCGUUCUAAACUAAACAUGGCUACAGAAGUAGUUGAUUGCCUUUGGCUGUUUUUGUUUCCUCAUCUAAAAGAGAAGCCCUGGCCUAAAUGAUCAGCACAAUGAUUGCCAAUUCUGAUGUUACUCUCCAGGCAGAGGCAACCAUUCCUGAGAGUGGCACCCAAAUGGCACCG